This 465-nucleotide ribosomal RNA is filed under the name uncultured bacterium. Its description in RNAcentral is "bacterial SSU rRNA". It matches the Rfam family "Bacterial small subunit ribosomal RNA", at positions 338 to 795 of the family's 1533-position model. The record is from RNAcentral.
CCUACGGGAUGCAGCAGUGGGGAAUAUCGCACAAUGGGCGCAAGCCUGAUGCAGCCAUGCCGCGUGUAUGAAGAAGGCCUUCGGGUUGUAAAGUACUUUCAGCGGGGAGGAAGGUGUUGAGGUUAAUAACCUCAGCAAUUGACGUUACCCGCAGAAGAAGCACCGGCUAACUCCGUGCCAGCAGCCGCGGUAGUACGGAGGGUGCAAGCGUUAAUCGGAAUUACUGGGCGUAAAGCGCACGCAGGCGGUCUGUCAAGUCGGAUGUGAAAUCCCCGGGCUCAACCUGGGAACUGCAUUCGAAACUGGCAGGCUAGAGUCUUGUAGAGGGGGGUAGAAUUCCAGGUGUAGCGGUGAAAUGCGUAGAGAUCUGGAGGAAUACCGGUGGCGAAGGCGGCCCCCUGGAUAAAGACUGACGCUCAGGUGCGAAAGCGUGGGGAGCAAACAGGAUUAGAUACCCGCGUAGUC